GUGCUUGCUUCGGCAGCACAUGUACUAAAAUUGGAAUGAUACAGAGAGGAUUAUCAUGGCCCCUGUGCAAGGAUGAUACGCAAAUUCAUGAAGUGCUCCAGAUUUUU
Loxodonta africana (African savanna elephant) is the source of this 107-nucleotide small nuclear RNA. The record is from Ensembl. Lineage: Eukaryota; Metazoa; Chordata; Mammalia; Proboscidea; Elephantidae.